Molecule: ribosomal RNA, 459 nt
Filed under: uncultured bacterium
Lineage: Bacteria
Description: bacterial SSU rRNA
Rfam family: Bacterial small subunit ribosomal RNA
Source: RNAcentral
GACGAACGCUGGCGGCGUGCCUAACACAUGCAAGUCGAACGGGACCAGAUGUCAGACAGCGGACAUCAGAAGACAGAUUACAGAUGGCAGAAUACAGAUUCAGAAGAGGGCGUGGAGGAAACCAAGCCUAGAUUCUAAUAUCCUAAGUCUGAGCAUUAGUAUCUGAACUCUGGUAUCUGGCGUCUGAUGUCUGGUCUAGUGGCGGACGGGUGAGUAACGCGUGAGCAACCUGCCUUACAGAGGGGGAUAACAUUCGGAAACAAAUGCUAAUACCGCAUAACAUAUAUUUACGGCAUCGUAGAUAUAUCAAAGGAGCAAUCCGCUGUAAGAUGGGCUCGCGUCCGAUUAGAUAGUUGGUGAGGUAAUGGCUCACCAAGUCUGCGAUCGGUAGCCGGACUGAGAGGUUGAACGGCCACAUUGGGACUGAGACACGGCCCAGACUCCUACGGGAGCAGCAGU